AUGUGCCCUCCCUGGGAGCACCCAAGGCCAGGCUGGAUGGGACUGUGAGCAACCUGGACUAGAAUGAGGUGUUCCUGUCUAUAGCAGGGGGUUGGAACCAGGUGAUCUUAAAGGUCCCCUCCAACCCAAACCAUUUUAUGACUUCCACACUGUCAUGCAGACAGCAGGUUUUGUACACCAGCAGGUUGCCCCUUUGUGUGCCCAGCAGCAGCUGCUCUUGCCUCAGCACCCCUGAUCUGCACACUCAGGCACAGACUUGGGAUCUGCUCUUUACCUCCUUGUGCAGGAGUGUUUCUCCAUUGGUCUUUGGUUGUGCCAGUGGUUGCAGGGAGGACACCCAGCUGUGCAACACUUCUCCACAUCCCCACGUCUCCAGCAGGAUUCUGUUCUUCAUGGGCUCAGCCCAGAAGAAAAUCUGCAUCAUUUCCCUGGGAGCUGCCAUGAGGAGGGGUUAGCUGCAGGAACUCAUAGUGAAGAGAAGGCUCUGCACCAGCUGGGGCCCCUUGUGCUGGCAAUGGGAAGGGAGGAAAGGAAGAGAAUGAGAGCUCUCCAGAGCAGGUCAUCAUCAUCACAGGAUAUGAGCUUCUGUCCCAGCAUGGGAAGUGAACUCGUGACCCACCUUACAAAUAAAAAUGCUUCCCAAAAGAAUCUGGACAAGAUCGCAGAGCAUGACUUAAUGCAAGAAAGAGAGCAGGCACUGAAAGGUCAGCACGACGACAGACCAUUUUUCACUCUGCUUACAGUUCUGCAGCUGUUUGCUGUCGCAGGAAGGCAGCGGGGAGAGGACAAAUCCCAGCGGCAAUACAUCAAGAGACCAUGUCACUGUGUUGUGUGAAACCGGUUGCUUUUGGGAGCUCCAGCCUGGCACCCAGCGAUGCUUGUGGGAAUUCUUUCUCUGCUGUUGGUCCACAUCCAGGGACAUGGAUGGGGUUCUGCUCUCCCAGACUGCAAGUACUGCAGCUUGCAGUUUUGGACCGGUGUGAAUGAUGAAAGCAAACAAAAAUCUCUUCUUGUUCCUUUUCCAUAUUGUACCAUGAAAGAUACCAGGCAGAGAGAGCUGGCUGGUAGUGGAACCAGUCAGAGAGCUGACAUGAGAAGAGCCCCAGGUUUCCCCAUGACCAACCAGCUUUCUUAUUUCAGGUGAGGUUGAAGUCAUCCUCUGCUCCUUCAUAACCAGCAAUAGGAUGAGGAAAUGGCCUCGGAACUGUGCCAGGGAAGGUUCAGGUUGAACAUUAAGAACAAUUUAUUCUCUGACAGAGUGGUCAGGUGCUGGAAUGGGCAGCCCAGGGAGGUGGUGGAAUCACUGUCCCUGGGGGGGGUUCAAGAAAUGUUUAGAUGUUGUACUGAGGGAGGUGGUUUAGUGGGAAAUACUGGUGAUAGGUGGGCAGCUGGACUGGGUGGUCUCAUGUUCUUUUCCAUCCUUGGUGAUUCUGUGAUUCUCUUGCAAGGAUGUGAAUUUCUCAGAAUGCCAUCUUAGUAAAUGCUGCAGCUUUUAUCAUUGUAAUUGAAAAGCAGAAAACAUUAACCCUUGACAAUCUCCAGUUAUCGAGCAAAGAGGACACAAAAUCUUCUAAAUUCCUCUGAUUCCUCUUUUGAAUGAUUUUGGCUCUUGGAAUGAAGAGAGAAUGGAAAAUACCCUAAGGGUAACACAGCCAGUUGGUGGCUGGAGAUGUAAUCCUUCUGAAACGGUCUUAUUAAGUAAUUACAUUUAAAUGUUGGGGGCAAUGUGCCUCUCUCUCUUUUUUAUUUCAGAGCAUUCUCUAAGUCUGGAUCUAGCUAGAUUGAGGUGUCUGCUUAGAAAAGCACAUUCCUGCAUUCUGCCAUAUGUGUUGCUG
RNAcentral lists this long non-coding RNA (1835 nucleotides) under Coturnix japonica (Japanese quail). RNAcentral's name for it is "lncRNA (ENSCJPG00005014586.1)". Lineage: Eukaryota; Metazoa; Chordata; Aves; Galliformes; Phasianidae. The record is from RNAcentral.